RNAcentral lists this ribosomal RNA (301 nucleotides) under uncultured bacterium. Its description in RNAcentral is "partial 16S ribosomal RNA". It matches the Rfam family "Bacterial small subunit ribosomal RNA", at positions 509 to 807 of the family's 1533-position model. The record is from RNAcentral.
CAGCAGCCACGGUAAUACGUAGGGUGCGAGCGUUAAUCGGAAUUACUGGGCGUAAAGCGUGCGCAGGCGGUUGUGUAAGACAGGUGUGAAAUCCCCGGGCUUAACCUGGGAACUGCGCUUGUGACUGCACAGCUAGAGUAUGGCAGAGGGGGGUGGAAUUCCACGUGUAGCAGUGAAAUGCGUAGAGAUGUGGAGGAACACCGAUGGCGAAGGCAGCCCCCUGGGCCAAUACUGACGCUCAUGCACGAAAGCGUGGGGAGCAAAUGGGAUUAGAUACCCCAGUAGUCCCUGUCUCUUAUAC